RNAcentral lists this long non-coding RNA (336 nucleotides) under Elaeis guineensis (African oil palm). RNAcentral's name for it is "long non-coding RNA (EGUI_LNC072120)". The record is from RNAcentral. Lineage: Eukaryota; Viridiplantae; Streptophyta; Magnoliopsida; Arecales; Arecaceae.
GACAAUGGUGUUAAAAUUUGAUGUGUGUCGUAGCACAUCAAAAUUAAUCCUACUCACUACUAUGUAGAUAGAGUGAGUCAGGAUCGUAUCUAUAGGAAUUUAGUCGAUUGUUUCAAAAAUACAAAAGAAAAGAAUAAUAGAUUCAAGAAACUAAGAACGGAGCAUGAAAAUUAUAAUAAAAUUAUUUUUUAUUAAUCAAAUAAUGAAGCAUACAUAAAGAAAAAGAAAUAAAAUUGUAAUACAAGAUAACUAAACCAAGUUGAUCUUCUCACUGCACCCGAUAGUGGAUGUGUCUCCUUGAAUCCUUCAUCUUCCUCUGUGCAGAUAGUGGCAGGA